GCCAGUGUUGUGUAGUGGUGUGAGUGUUAGACUGUGACUCUGGAGACCAGAGUUCAGAUCCCUGCUCAGCCA
Molecule: non-coding RNA, 72 nt
Organism: Phrynosoma platyrhinos (Desert horned lizard)
Lineage: Eukaryota; Metazoa; Chordata; Lepidosauria; Squamata; Phrynosomatidae
Source: the annotation of a GenBank genome assembly